CUUGAAGAAACCUCCGGGUAUGAAAUGAGGAAAAUUUCUCACUGAAAAAAUCAGAAAAUCUCAUCAACAACAGUGAAAAAGCUAAGCCCUCCACUAAUCUCUCAAAUUUUGAUUUCAGAUCCAACAAGAUCCGCGAAGACUUGAUGGAAAACAUAGUAAUGUUACUUUCGAUGAAUUCCCUUAUUAUCUCAGGAAAAAAAAAGAACCAAUAGAAGAAAAAGAAGCUAAAGGGUGGUGUUGUAGACUCUAACAGAUAUAUCAAUAUGUACCAUAUUUUACCCAGUACAUAUCGAUAUGUACCGGUGUCAAUGCUAAGCUUUGACUCUUUGUGUCCUAUAAAUUUCUGUUGUCUGAUAUGUUAUAAGUAUCCAUUUAUUUCUAAAAUAAUGCAUGCUCUCUCAAUAGAAUGAUGUGAUACCAUGUACAUCCUUCCAAGUGCUACUGUGAGUAUUUAGACCAUUAACCUCUCAAACUCUAAGGGUAUUCUAGCUUAAACCCUUGCACACUGCUUGACAAUUUUGAUUCCAGAACUAAAUAUAGUUUCAUUUUACCCUUUAUUUUUGGUCACACUUUAGAAACUGUCUUUGGUUCUAUGCAUCAUGUUUGUCUUGAAUUAGAUUUUUCAUAUAGUUUCUAUGUAUCUAUAAGUAACACUAAACUGAUUAUGUUUUACUAAUAUGCAGUUGUUAUCUAGUUUGUUUUACUCAGUAUAUUUCAAUAUCUUCAAUACAUGUGUAUACGUGCUGCAAUUUUCUGUUUUGAUUUAAUUAUUUUUUUUGGGAUUUUGUUCAAAAAUUGAUUUCAAAUAUAUGAAUUUCUUCCUAUUAUAGGGGUUAUAUCUUACAAUAGCUAUGAACCUAUAUGAGAGUGACCAUUAGAAAGACAUCUAUUUUCUAAA
Papaver somniferum (opium poppy) is the source of this 898-nucleotide long non-coding RNA. RefSeq lists it as uncharacterized. The record is from RefSeq and is a predicted model, not a curated record. The transcript has 3 exons. NCBI's taxonomy places the organism in Eukaryota, Viridiplantae, Streptophyta, Magnoliopsida, Ranunculales, Papaveraceae.